GAGCCGGUAGCUCAGCUGGUAGAGCAUCGCCCUUUUAAGGCGAGGGUCCUGGGUUCGACCCCCAGCCGGCUCACCA
Molecule: transfer RNA, 76 nt
Filed under: Nitrospira sp.
Lineage: Bacteria; Pseudomonadati; Nitrospirota; Nitrospiria; Nitrospirales; Nitrospiraceae
Also listed under: 2 other names
Description: tRNA-Lys
Rfam family: tRNA
About the family: Transfer RNA (tRNA) molecules are approximately 80 nucleotides in length.
Source: RNAcentral